GAUGAACGCUGGCGGCGUGCUUAACACAUGCAAGUCGAGCGGACAGACCAUGAGCUUGCGGGGCGGACGUGUGGGGAGGGGGGGUGAAAAACGCGUGUAUAAUGUCCCUGAAAUAGGGAGAAAAUUAGGAAAAAGGGGCGAAUACAGGAGAGGAGCUAUUGAUGCAUGGUGGUGAAUAGAAAAUUACGGUGGUGUGGGAUGGAAUAGAGGGUUAUCAGCUUGUUGGUGGAGUAGGGGCUUACAAGGGCUUUGACGGGUAGGCGGCCUUGGAGGGUGACCAGCCUCAUUGGGACUGCGAUACGGCCCAGACUCCUACGGGAGGCAGCAGUGGGGAAUAUUGCACAAUGGGCGGAAGCCUGAUGCAACAACGCCGCGUGCGGGAUGACGGCCUUCUAGUUAUAAACCGCUUUCGCCUUUGACGAAGCGUUAGUGACGGUAAUGGGUAAAGAAGCACCGGCUAACUACGUG
Molecule: ribosomal RNA, 468 nt
Filed under: uncultured bacterium
Lineage: Bacteria
Description: partial 16S ribosomal RNA
Rfam family: Bacterial small subunit ribosomal RNA
Source: RNAcentral